RNAcentral lists this ribosomal RNA (363 nucleotides) under Triticum aestivum (bread wheat). RNAcentral's name for it is "partial small subunit ribosomal RNA". Lineage: Eukaryota; Viridiplantae; Streptophyta; Magnoliopsida; Poales; Poaceae. The record is from RNAcentral.
AUGCACUCGUUAUUUCGAGCAAGCCAUGGAUUGAUGCUUGUUGGUGGAAGGGGGUAUAAACUUUACCAUUCUGUUUGGGAACCGCCUAUAAUGUGUGUAGCAUGGAAGAUAUCGCCAUCUCUUGGUUGUUAUGUUGACAAUGAAAGUAUACCGCUCAAAAUAUUAUUCACCUUUUUUUCAAAACCGAGCUCUGGCACCUCUACAAAUCCCUACUUCCCUCUGCGAAGGGCCUAUCUAUUUACUUUUAUGCUGAGUCAUCAUCCUCUUAUUAAAAAAGCACCAGUUGGAGAGCACCGCUGUCAUUUGCAUUCAUUACUGUUAGUUUACAUUGAGUAUGACUUGACUAGAUCUCUUUUACCAUGA